This 2239-nucleotide long non-coding RNA is filed under the name Mus musculus (house mouse). Its description in RNAcentral is "predicted gene, 39090 (Gm39090)". The record is from RNAcentral. Lineage: Eukaryota; Metazoa; Chordata; Mammalia; Rodentia; Muridae.
AGACAGGCUCAGCUCCCAGCUGCAACUGGCAGGUCUGAGGCUCAGUUCUCACAGAAGAGCAAACCCACCAAGGGCAGCGCUCGCCUCCGGAGCCAUGUGCUGGCCUGGGGAGCCUGCCACCUCGAGGGCCCAACAACUUCUCAGAGUGGGGGAGGGGCCCGGCAUCUCCUGAGCCGCAGCUCCCCGAAGCUCCUGGCUGAUAUCCACCGACCUGUGAUGUCAUCCACAAACACAUGGAAGGCAAAAGUGCCUCUCCCUGGGAAUGAAAGGGCAGGGGCUGGGCUAGUCACCGCAUGGGAAGCAGAAACCAGACACAGACAGAGAGAGCACCCAGAAGAAAUCAGAGCACAGCCAAACUUCUAAUCAGAGGUAAGAUGCAAAAGGAAGGUCCAGCCUUCUGGAGUAUGCAGAAGGUUUGACAAAGGCUGUCGUGGGGCUAAAUGAAUGUGAUCAUCCAGAGAUAAAUAAGGAGAAGAAAAGCUAUGGAUUCCUUCAAAAUGAAUGAAAAUCAGAUUUGAUCAGGGGAGACCCCCUGAAGAUCCUGACUGCAGACAUGAAAGAAAUCAAGAAUACCAACAAAACAGACAGGUCAGCUCCAGGCAGCACCCCCAUUCUACUUCAUAGAAGAUGAUGAGCAUCGAGAACCUCUGUACGGAGUUUGCUUCAAAUGUGGCAAACAAGCCACUGGGCAAGAAACUGCCCUUGCUUCAGCCGCUGACAGUAUGCUGUCCAAACUGGACCAACAGGAUGCAGGAGUUGCCCUGGUCCCAGUGUCUCUUCACAACAGUGAACAGUGUCUAAACAGGUUUCAAAUUUUGAUUGGUUGGAUGAAGCAUCUAUCAAAAGAUGGCUUAUUGAAAGAGUUGGAGAUGCCUGAUACCCCUUGGCUUAGUGCUGCUGAAGGGAUUUUAAGGCUCAGGGAAUUGCAGUGCUCGAGUGGGUACGCUGUGUAAAACCUCCACAACGUGAAGGCCCAGAAGACACGCCCUUCACAAAUCCUGUAAGACACAAAAUGGUGCACCAGCACAUUUGAAGAGUUUUGCCCUUUUCCUUGUGCCAGACCUAAGGGCUGGAGAUGCUGCUGCUCAGUGGAUGAAUUAAAUGCAAUGGGUUUAACUGGGGCACAGAGUAGCAGGGCCAGGUGGCAGCACUGAAUUAACUAAGGCAAGGUGAUCAUAGUUAUUCCAAUGAGCAGCACAACAACAAAGCAAUGAUCGUAAUAGCCUGCCAUGAUGGUCAGCACAGGCAAAGUGAAUUUUAGGGUGGCAUGACUGGUAUGGACUUAGGUACUGGGUAACCAACCAUGGUGUUUCCAGGCAUGAAACAGGAAGCCUACUAUGUAAGAGGAAAAUUUCUCAAACAAAUAAAAGGCUUACAUUAAGUCAUGAUCAAGAGAGAAUCUCAACCUGUGAACCAAUUUCUAGAGUUGAGCCAGUUUGCAGACCCAGAUCUCCUUGAAUGAGGGAGUGGCCAAGUUCCACUGAUUAAGGACCUUGAUAAGACACCUAAAAGUUUUACUGUUAGUCUUUCUCCUGUCCUUCCCCAGAGGGACCUACGGGCUUUUAGAAGGGAAAUUGUACACGAGGGGAAGGAAACUAUCAGACUUCCUGAGGUCUACUGAAUGCUGUUCUGAACUGACCCUGGUUCUGGGAAACCCCUAGAGACAUGGUGGCCCAUCAGUUAAAGUCAGAGCUUAUGAUAGGAGCCAGGUGAUUAAUGGAGUUUAGGCUAAAGUCUGACUCAUAGUAGGCUCAGGGAGAGCCUGAAUUUCUCCUGUGGUUAUUUCCCAAGUCCCAGAAUGUAUAAUCGGGAUAGAUAUACUUAGAAGUUGGCAGAGUUCUCACACUGGUUCCCUGGUCUGUGGUGUGAGGGCUAUUAUGGCUGGAAAGGCUAAAUGGAAGUCUUUAGAGUUGCCUCUCUACCAUGGAAAAUAGUGAAUCCAGGAACAAGUGUCACCGUCAAGGACUUGGGAGACAAAGCGGGGAGAGGGGCUCCCAGGUCUCCCUUUAGCCCUCCUACCUGGCCUGUACAGAAUAUUUUGGUAAGAACCUGUUUGCACAGAUAUUUGUGUUUUCUUCACUAAGUUUCUUUAUCAUACAGUGUAUCAUCAAUUGAGAUAAUAUCAAUGGUUCUCACAUUUAAGUUAUGAGGUAUUAAAGUAACUUUCCUCAAAGGACAUUGCCACCUAUUCUAAAAUGUAUAAUGAAUUUGUGGUUGUACAUGUUCAAGUUAUAAAUUA